Molecule: ribosomal RNA, 2902 nt
Filed under: Klebsiella quasipneumoniae
Lineage: Bacteria; Pseudomonadati; Pseudomonadota; Gammaproteobacteria; Enterobacterales; Enterobacteriaceae
Description: 23S ribosomal RNA
Rfam family: Bacterial large subunit ribosomal RNA
Source: RNAcentral
GGUUAAGCGACUAAGCGUACACGGUGGAUGCCCUGGCAGUCAGAGGCGAUGAAGGACGUGCUAAUCUGCGAAAAGCGUCGGUAAGGUGAUAUGAACCGUUAUAACCGGCGAUGUCCGAAUGGGGAAACCCAGUGCAAUUCGUUGCACUAUCGUUAACUGAAUACAUAGGUUAACGAGGCGAACCGGGGGAACUGAAACAUCUAAGUACCCCGAGGAAAAGAAAUCAACCGAGAUUCCCCCAGUAGCGGCGAGCGAACGGGGAGCAGCCCAGAGUCUGAAUCAGCUUGUGUGUUAGUGGAACGGUCUGGAAAGUCCGACGGUACAGGGUGAUAGUCCCGUACACCAAAAUGCACAGGUUGUGAACUCGAAGAGUAGGGCGGGACACGUGGUAUCCUGUCUGAAUAUGGGGGGACCAUCCUCCAAGGCUAAAUACUCCUGACUGACCGAUAGUGAACCAGUACCGUGAGGGAAAGGCGAAAAGAACCCCGGCGAGGGGAGUGAAAAAGAACCUGAAACCGUGUACGUACAAGCAGUGGGAGCACCUUCGGGUGUGACUGCGUACCUUUUGUAUAAUGGGUCAGCGACUUAUAUUCUGUAGCAAGGUUAACCGUAUAGGGGAGCCGCAGGGAAACCGAGUCUUAACUGGGCGUUAAGUUGCAGGGUAUAGACCCGAAACCCGGUGAUCUAGCCAUGGGCAGGUUGAAGGUUGGGUAACACUAACUGGAGGACCGAACCGACUAAUGUUGAAAAAUUAGCGGAUGACUUGUGGCUGGGGGUGAAAGGCCAAUCAAACCGGGAGAUAGCUGGUUCUCCCCGAAAGCUAUUUAGGUAGCGCCUCGUGAACUCAUCUUCGGGGGUAGAGCACUGUUUCGGCUAGGGGGUCAUCCCGACUUACCAACCCGAUGCAAACUACGAAUACCGAAGAAUGUUAUCACGGGAGACACACGGCGGGUGCUAACGUCCGUCGUGAAGAGGGAAACAACCCAGACCGCCAGCUAAGGUCCCAAAGUCAUGGUUAAGUGGGAAACGAUGUGGGAAGGCACAGACAGCCAGGAUGUUGGCUUAGAAGCAGCCAUCAUUUAAAGAAAGCGUAAUAGCUCACUGGUCGAGUCGGCCUGCGCGGAAGAUGUAACGGGGCUAAACCAUGCACCGAAGCUGCGGCAGCGACACGAUGUGUUGUUGGGUAGGGGAGCGUUCUGUAAGCCUGCGAAGGUGGCCUGUGAGGGUUGCUGGAGGUAUCAGAAGUGCGAAUGCUGACAUAAGUAACGAUAAAGCGGGUGAAAAGCCCGCUCGCCGGAAGACCAAGGGUUCCUGUCCAACGUUAAUCGGGGCAGGGUGAGUCGACCCCUAAGGCGAGGCCGAAAGGCGUAGUCGAUGGGAAACAGGUUAAUAUUCCUGUACUUGGUGUUACUGCGAAGGGGGGACGGAGAAGGCUAUGUUAGCCGGGCGACGGUUGUCCCGGUUUAAGCAUGUAGGCUGGUUAUCCAGGCAAAUCCGGAUAAUCAAGGCUGAGGUGUGAUGACGAGGCACUACGGUGCUGAAGUAACAAAUGCCCUGCUUCCAGGAAAAGCCUCUAAGCAUCAGGUAACAUCAAAUCGUACCCCAAACCGACACAGGUGGUCAGGUAGAGAAUACCAAGGCGCUUGAGAGAACUCGGGUGAAGGAACUAGGCAAAAUGGUGCCGUAACUUCGGGAGAAGGCACGCUGGUGUGUAGGUGAAGUCCCUGCGGAUGGAGCUGAGACCAGUCGAAGAUACCAGCUGGCUGCAACUGUUUAUUAAAAACACAGCACUGUGCAAACACGAAAGUGGACGUAUACGGUGUGACGCCUGCCCGGUGCCGGAAGGUUAAUUGAUGGGGUUAUCCGUAAGGAGAAGCUCUUGAUCGAAGCCCCGGUAAACGGCGGCCGUAACUAUAACGGUCCUAAGGUAGCGAAAUUCCUUGUCGGGUAAGUUCCGACCUGCACGAAUGGCGUAAUGAUGGCCAGGCUGUCUCCACCCGAGACUCAGUGAAAUUGAACUCGCUGUGAAGAUGCAGUGUACCCGCGGCAAGACGGAAAGACCCCGUGAACCUUUACUAUAGCUUGACACUGAACAUUGAGCCUUGAUGUGUAGGAUAGGUGGGAGGCUUUGAAGCGUGGACGCCAGUCUGCGUGGAGCCAACCUUGAAAUACCACCCUUUAAUGUUUGAUGUUCUAACGUGGGCCCCUGACCGGGGUUGCGGACAGUGUCUGGUGGGUAGUUUGACUGGGGCGGUCUCCUCCCAAAGCGUAACGGAGGAGCACGAAGGUUAGCUAAUCCUGGUCGGACAUCAGGAGGUUAGUGCAAUGGCAUAAGCUAGCUUGACUGCGAGCGUGACGGCGCGAGCAGGUGCGAAAGCAGGUCAUAGUGAUCCGGUGGUUCUGAAUGGAAGGGCCAUCGCUCAACGGAUAAAAGGUACUCCGGGGAUAACAGGCUGAUACCGCCCAAGAGUUCAUAUCGACGGCGGUGUUUGGCACCUCGAUGUCGGCUCAUCACAUCCUGGGGCUGAAGUAGGUCCCAAGGGUAUGGCUGUUCGCCAUUUAAAGUGGUACGCGAGCUGGGUUUAGAACGUCGUGAGACAGUUCGGUCCCUAUCUGCCGUGGGCGCUGGAGAAUUGAGGGGGGCUGCUCCUAGUACGAGAGGACCGGAGUGGACGCAUCACUGGUGUUCGGGUUGUCAUGCCAAUGGCACUGCCCGGUAGCUAAAUGCGGAAGAGAUAAGUGCUGAAAGCAUCUAAGCACGAAACUUGCCCCGAGAUGAGUUCUCCCUGAGACUAUAAGUCUCCUGAAGGAACGUUGAAGACGACGACGUUGAUAGGCCGGGUGUGUAAGCGCAGCGAUGCGUUGAGCUAACCGGUACUAAUGAACCGUGAGGCUUAACCUU